Molecule: long non-coding RNA, 3548 nt
Organism: Homo sapiens (human)
Lineage: Eukaryota; Metazoa; Chordata; Mammalia; Primates; Hominidae
Source: Ensembl
ACAAUGGGGUGGUUCCAUGGCCCAGAAGCACUCUAGCUACAGAUUAGUUUAUUUCAGGACUAUAUUAAGUUUCCCAACUUCUGUCAUGAUAUAGUCCAAAGAGAACCUGGACCACGCAGACAUCAAACAGAACAUGACACUGACCCAUUCUAUCAGUGACGUUGUGCUGAUUGCACAGGACAGAUGAGAGGCUCGUAUACUAGAAGUCUUGUUAUCCACAGAAGGAAUGAUCUGCAAUGUACACACGCCAGGACAGAAAUUCUACAGUUGCUGAUAAAAUGUAAACCUCUUUCUCCAGAAUUGGGAAAUCCCUCAACCUGGCAAAAGUAUAGCUCAAAUGUGCCUCAGCUACCAUUUCCUGGUGGCAGUCCUCAACCAAUGGGUGCCGGGAAUUGGUGAACAACGCCCCAGCCCCCCAGCCUCCAGAGAAACAAUUCUAAGUGACAUGGAUGAUGAUAACCAGUCUAUGCCCACAGUGAUUAUCAGCUCAGCAAUGUACCCUUUACUGGCUUUUCUCCUUCCAUAUGUCACUAUUCCUGCUCCCUCACUCCUGCUUCCUGGAAUUACCUUCCCAGAAAAACUUCAUUCAGGUAAGCCAUAGUCCUAGGCUCUACUUGAGGGUAGGGGAAUCCAAACUAAAGUAAGUGUCUGUAGGACUUCAAAGUAAAGAUCCAAGUUAGACUUUCAGGAGAAGAGAUUUGGGGUAGAACUAUAAACUUACGUUUUCUUCCUAAUGGGAGCUGACAACACAGAAGUAGAUGAAAUUUUCCAGUAAUAGAAGAAAGGGGUCUAUGAGGAACCAUGAGGAACAACAACAUUUCUGGCACAGGCAGAAGAAGAGUCAAGGAGACAGAAACGACAAGAGAGGUAGAAGAACAAAGAAAGUUUGCAACAUGGAAAGCCAGGGAGGAGGAAGUUUCAAGAAAGAGUAGGUGAAUCUAUCCCAGCAGCAGCCAGGGUGGGCCUCUGUCCUCGAGCAGCACUGGAGCCAGACUCAGUUCCCGGAUCUUGCAGCCGAGGAGCCUCUCAAGCAUCCACAGCCCCCACCAGUGUGGGGACGGUGGAUCCUGUGGUGGACAUCCCCGGGGAUGUGACUGCCUGAUGGUGGCAGCAACAGCAGCAACAUCUGAGACCACGGAGUGGGGGUCUUUGGCAGAGACCCCAGGGCAGCUGAGGCAGCUGGGCUUCCUCCCAGCUCCAUCAGCCUUUGGGUCCAUGAGAAUCCCUUAUCCUUUACAGCCCUGCCCUGGCUCUGGGAAACUGGGGAUGGCCUCUGUGACCCCCCUUUGAGAGGUGAAGCCAGCUGGACUUCUGGGUCGGGUGGGGACUUGGAGAACUUUUCUGUCUUACAAGAGGAUUAUAAAAUGCACCAAUCAGCACUCUGUAGCUAGGAUUGUAAAAUGCACCAGUCAGUGUUCUGUGGCUAGCUAGAGGUUUGUAAAAUGGACCAAUCAGUGCUCUGUAAAAUGGACCAAUCAGCACUCUGUAAAAUGGACCAAUCUGCACUCUGUAAAAUGGACCAAUCAGCAGGAUGUGGGCGGGGACAAAUAAAAGAAUAAAACCUGGCCACCCCAGCCAGCAGCAGCAACCCACUUGGGUUCCCUUCCAUGGUGUGGAAGCUUUGUUCUUUAGCUCUUCACAAUAAAUCUUGCUGGUGCUAACUCUCUGGGUCCGUGACAUCUUCAAGAGCUGUAACACUCAUCACAAAAGUCCGCAGCUCCAUUCUUGAAGUCAGCGAGACCAAGAACCCACCAGAAGGAACCAACUCCAGACACACCCUGACGUGGGAUACCCCAUUUCCUGAGGCAUGGAGAGGCAUCACCCCAGUAAGUUGCCCAUGCCCUGUGCUGGCAGCCUCCCUUUUACCCCCAACCAUCCUUUGCUCUAGCUUCUGGCCCCAAAUUUGUCCAAGGAGCCCCCCAUUCAAAUCCUUUCCCUGCUGCCACGUGGCCUUCCCUGUCCCACAGCUUGCUCUGCAAGCCUCCAAUGUCUGAAGAUCUUCCAGUGUCACUCAUGGCCCCUUUAGUCUCAGCCCAGCCAUAAACUUCAAUGCAAAGGAUAAGUCUAGAUUGAUUUCACAGUUCUUUUAACAAGUGGACUUAAAAGCUAGUGGCAAUACAUUCCUUCUCCUCAGAGUUGAAGGCAAGUUCUCCCUGAAGCCUGGGUGACACAUGUCCUUUUCCUAAGACUGGGGAAGAGAAUUGGGAGUGGCAGCCAGUUCGGCAGGAAAUUUGUUAGCAGGGGAAGAAACUCAGAUGGGAGUGAGGAACUUCACAGGAAAAGUCUGGAGGAGCAUCCAAGGAUGAUCAACAUUUAUUUUAUGUGUGGGAAGCAAUGCGACUUUACUGUUAUUGACCCUUUACAAUAUCCCCUGUAAAUGUAUGUUUAGGGUUUUCUUCUGAAAAAGAAAGAAAUUGUUACUCAGCCAGUAAAUGAUACUUAAAGAGAGAAAGAGGGGGAAAAAAGGAAGGAAGGGAGAGAGAAAGUGGGAGUAGAUGAAAGUGAGGGCGAGAGAAAGAAAAAGAAAGGAAUUGUUAUUCAGCCAGUAAAAGAUACUUAAAAAGAGAGAAAGAAGGGGGGAAAAGAGGGAGGGUGGGUGAGUGUUGCGGGAAGACAGGGACCCCAAAUGGAGGGACCAGUUGAAGCCAUGGCAGAAGAACGUAGAUUGUGAAGAUUUCAUGGACAUUUAUUAGUUCCUCAAAUUAAUACUUUUAUAAUUUCUUAUGCCUGUCUUUACUGCAAUCUCUAAACAUAAAUUGUACAGAUUUCAUGGACACUUAUGACUUCCCCAAUCAAUACCCUUGUGAUUUCCUAUGCCUGUCUUUACUUUAAUCUCCUAAUCCUGUCAGCUGAGGAGGAUGUAUGUCACCUCAGGACCCUGUAAUAAUUGCAUUAAUGCACAAAUUGUACAGCAUGUAUGUUUGAGCAGUAUGAAAUCUGGGCACCUUGAAAAAAGAACAGGAUAAUAGCAAUUGUUCAGGGAAUAAGAGAGAUAACCUUAAACUCUGACCGCCGGUGAGCCGGGUGGAACAGAGCCAUAUUUCUCUUCUUUCAAAGGCAAAUGGGAGAAAUAUCACUGAAUUCUUUUUCUCAGCAUGGAACAUCCCUGGGAAAGAGAAUACACGCCUGGGGGUGGGUCUCUAAACUGGCUCCCUUGGGCGUGGCCGUCUUUUAUGGUGGAGGUUGUAGGGGUGAAAUAGACCCCAGUCUCCCAUAGCGCUCCCAGGCUUAUUAGGAAGAGGAAAUUCCCGCCUAAUAAUUUUGGUCAGACUGGUUGCUCUCAAAAUCCUGUUUCCUGAUAAGAUGUUAUCAAUGACAAUGGUGCCCGAAACUUCAUUAGCAAUUUUAAUUUCGCCCUGGUCCUGUGGUCCUGUAAUCUCACCCUGCCUCCACUUGCCUUGUGAUAUUCUAUUACCUUGUAAAGUACUUGAUGUCUGUGACCCACAUCUAUUCGCACACUCCCUCCCCUUUUGAAAAUCCCUAAUAAAAACUUGCUGGUUUUGUGGCUUGGAGGGCAUCACGGAACCUACCGACAUGUGAUGUCUCCC